This 75-nucleotide small RNA is filed under the name Procavia capensis (Cape rock hyrax). RNAcentral describes it as "7SK RNA (ENSPCAG00000020421.1)". The record is from RNAcentral. Lineage: Eukaryota; Metazoa; Chordata; Mammalia; Hyracoidea; Procaviidae.
UAGAAGUAACAUCUGUCCCCCCACUGUUUGCCAGCAUUAGUUUGGCUAAUCUUCUUGGCAAGGCUGGUAUCACUU